GAUGAACGCUGGCGGCGUGCCUAAUACAUGCAAGUCGAGCGAACAGACGAGGAGCUUGCUCCUCUGACGUUAGCGGCGGACGGGUGAGUAACACGUGGAUAACCUACCUAUAAGACUGGGAUAACUUCGGGAAACCGGAGCUAAUACCGGAUAAUAUAUUGAACCGCAUGGUUCAAUAGUGAAAGACGGUUUUGCUGUCACUUAUAGAUGGAUCCGCGCCGCAUUAGCUAGUUGGUAAGGUAAUGGCUUACCAAGGCGACGAUGCGUAGCCGACCUGAGAGGGUGAUCGGCCACACUGGAACUGAGACACGGUCCAGACUCCUACGGGAGGCAGCAGUAGGGAAUCUUCCGCAAUGGGCGAAAGCCUGACGGAGCAACGCCGCGUGAGUGAUGAAGGUCUUCGGAUCGUAAAACUCUGUCAUUAGGGAAGAACAAAUGUGUAAGUAACUAUGCACGUCUUGACGGUACCUAAUCAGAAAGCCACGGCUAACUACGUG
RNAcentral lists this ribosomal RNA (497 nucleotides) under uncultured bacterium. Its description in RNAcentral is "partial 16S ribosomal RNA". It matches the Rfam family "Bacterial small subunit ribosomal RNA", at positions 28 to 507 of the family's 1533-position model. The record is from RNAcentral.